ACAUCGAAAGCUUGCUUUUGAUGGGCGUCGACCGGCGCACGGGUGAGUAACGCGUAUCCAACCUGCCCACCACUUGGGGAUAACCUUGCGAAAGUAAGACUAAUACCCAAUGACGUCUCUAGAGGACAUCUGAAAGAGAUUAAAGAUUUAUCGGUGAUGGAUGGGGAUGCGUCUGAUUAGCUUGUUGGCGGGGUAACGGCCCACCAAGGCUACGAUCAGUAGGGGUUCUGAGAGGAAGGUCCCCCACAUUGGAACUGAGACACGGUCCAAACUCCUACGGGAGGCAGCAGUGAGGAAUAUUGGUCAAUGGACGAGAGUCUGAACCAGCCAAGUAGCGUGCAGGAUGACGGCCCUAUGGGUUGUAAACUGCUUUUAUAAGGGAAUAAAGUGAGUCUCGUGAGACUUUUUGCAUGUACCUUAUGAAUAAGGACCGGCUAAUUCCGUGCCAGCAGCCGCGGUAAUACGGAAGGUCCGGGCGUUAUCCGGAUUUAUUGGGUUUAAAGGGAGCGUAGGCCGGAGAUUAAGCGUGUUGUGAAAUGUAGAUGCUCAACAUCUGCACUGCAGCGCGAACUGGUUUCCUUGAGUACGCACAAAGUGGGCGGAAUUCGUGGUGUAGCGGUGAAAUGCUUAGAUAUCACGAAGAACUCCGAUUGCGAAGGCAGCUCACUGGAGCGCAACUGACGCUGAAGCUCGAAAGUGCGGGUAUCGAACAGGAUUAGAUACCCUGGUAGUCCGCACGGUAAACGAUGGAUGCCCGCUGUUGGUCUGAAUAGGUCAGCGGCC
This 783-nucleotide ribosomal RNA is filed under the name uncultured bacterium. RNAcentral's name for it is "bacterial SSU rRNA". It matches the Rfam family "Bacterial small subunit ribosomal RNA", at positions 68 to 848 of the family's 1533-position model. The record is from RNAcentral.